Molecule: ribosomal RNA, 468 nt
Filed under: uncultured bacterium
Lineage: Bacteria
Description: partial 16S ribosomal RNA
Rfam family: Bacterial small subunit ribosomal RNA
Source: RNAcentral
GACGAACGCUGGCGGCGUGCUUAACACAUGCAAGUCGAACGGAAAGGCCCUGCUUUUGUGGGGUGCUCGAGUGGCGAACGGGUGAGUAACACGUGAGUAACCUGCCCUUGACUUUGGGAUAACUUCAGGAAACUGGGGCUAAUACCGGAUAGGAGCUCCUGCUGCAUGGGGGGGGUUGGAAAGUUUCGGCGGUUGGGGAUGGACUCGCGGCUUAUCAGCUUGUUGGUGGGGUAGUGGCUUACCAAGGCUUUGACGGGUAGCCGGCCUGAGAGGGUGACCGGCGACAUUGGGACUGAGAUACGGCCCAGACUCCUACGGGAGGCAGCAGUGGGGAAUAUUGCACAAUGGGCGGAAGCCUGAUGCAGCAACGCCGCGUGCGGGAUGACGGCCUUCGGGUUGUAAACCGCUUUCGCCUGUGACGAAGCGUGAGUGACGGUAAUGGGUAAAGAAGCACCGGCUAACUAUGUG